Molecule: ribosomal RNA, 292 nt
Filed under: uncultured bacterium
Lineage: Bacteria
Description: partial 16S ribosomal RNA
Rfam family: Bacterial small subunit ribosomal RNA
Source: RNAcentral
GUGCCAGCAGCCGCGGUAAUACAGAGGUCUCAAGCGUUGUUCGGAUUCAUUGGGCGUAAAGGGUGCGUAGGUGGUGCCGUAAGUCGGGUGUGAAAUCUCGGGGCUUAACUCCGAAACUGCAUUCGAUACUGCCGUGCUUGAGGACUGGAGAGGAGACUGGAAUUUACGGUGUAGCGGUGAAAUGCGUAGAUAUCGUAAGGAAGACCAGUGGCGAAGGCGGGUCUCUGGACAGUUCCUGACGCUGAGGCACGAAGGUCAGGGGAGCAAGCGGGAUUAGAAACCCUGGUAGUCC